This 381-nucleotide ribosomal RNA is filed under the name uncultured archaeon. Its description in RNAcentral is "bacterial SSU rRNA". It matches the Rfam family "Archaeal small subunit ribosomal RNA", at positions 473 to 853 of the family's 1478-position model. The record is from RNAcentral.
AUACCGGCGGCUCGAGUGGUGGCCACUAUUACUGGGCUUAAAGCGUCCGUAGCUGGAUUGUUAAGUCUCUUGGGAAAUCCACCGGCUCAACCGAUGGGCGUUCAGGAGAAACUGGCAAUCUAGGGACCGGGAGAGGUGAGAGGUACUCCAGGGGUAGGAGUGAAAUCCUGUAAUCCUUGGGGGACCACCUGUGGCGAAGGCGUCUCACUAGAACGGCUCCGACAGUGAGGGACGAAAGCUGGGGGAGCAAACCGGAUUAGAUACCCGGGUAGUCCCAGCUGUAAACGAUGCGCGGUAGGUGUAUCGGUGACCACGAGUCAUCGAGGUGCCGAAGGGAAACCGUGAAACGUGCCGCCUGGGAAGUACGGUCGCAAGGCUGAA